CAGCUAAGAGUGGGAGCCUGCAGAAAGAAACUCACUGUCCCAAGAUCUGCACCAAGAAGCUCCAAGCCUAAAUGGACACAAGCUGUAAAGUUUUUCUCCUUGCAGAUUCGUUGAAAUGCAUAAUCUGUCCGAGGACUCCAGUUGUGGUGGUGACGGUCACAGAAAAAAAGAUUGGAAGUACCUGAAAAUAUUGGAAGAUUUCUAAAAUAUACACAAAAGCAGAGCUGAGACCCACCGCUGAAGAGUUGCAUUCCUUUAUGGGACUGACUUUCAUCAGUCAUUUUAUUGAUCAGUGUAGAAAAAUGACCCCAAGAAGCCAGGGUGAAGAGGACCGGUGAGACUCUCUGGAUUCUUGUGGUGGUGACUCUUUUCCUACCUAAUCUGUCUCUCUCUCACUGUCUUUUUCCCCCUCUGUUCCCUCUUUUCUAUUUCUAUCUCU
Zonotrichia albicollis (white-throated sparrow) is the source of this 439-nucleotide long non-coding RNA. RefSeq lists it as uncharacterized. NCBI's taxonomy places the organism in Eukaryota, Metazoa, Chordata, Aves, Passeriformes, Passerellidae. The record is from RefSeq and is a predicted model, not a curated record.